This 22-nucleotide non-coding RNA is filed under the name Caenorhabditis briggsae. Its record names the gene cbr-let-7. RNAcentral also lists the same sequence under 116 other names. Lineage: Eukaryota; Metazoa; Nematoda; Chromadorea; Rhabditida; Rhabditidae. The record is from miRBase by way of RNAcentral.
UGAGGUAGUAGGUUGUAUAGUU